UGGGGAAUCUUGCGCCAAUGCGCGAAAGCGUGACGCAGCGACGCCGCGUGGGGGAUGAAGGCCCUCGGGUUGUAAACCCCUUUCGCCAGGGACGAAGCGAAAGUGACGGUACCUGGAGAAGAAGUCCCGGCUAACUACGUGCCAGCAGCCGCGGUAACACGUAGGGGACGAGCGUUGUCCGGAUUCAUUGGGCGUAAAGCGUGCGUAGGCGGUCGUGCAAGUCGGUUGUGAAAUCCCGGGGCUCAACCCCGGGACUGCGUCCGAUACUGUGCGACUGGAGGCAGGUAGGGGAGAUCGGAAUUCCUGGUGUAGCGGUGAAAUGCGCAGAUAUCAGGAGGAACACCGGUGGCGAAGGCGGAUCUCUGGGCCUUGCCUGACGCUGAGGCGCGAAAGCUAGGGGAGCGAACAGGAUUAGAUACCCUGGUAGUCCUAGCCGUAAACGUUGGGUGCUAGGUGUGGGCGGACAUCGACCCGUCCGUGCCGAAGCUAACGCAUUAAGCA
RNAcentral lists this ribosomal RNA (501 nucleotides) under uncultured Actinomycetes bacterium. RNAcentral's name for it is "bacterial SSU rRNA". It matches the Rfam family "Bacterial small subunit ribosomal RNA", at positions 355 to 866 of the family's 1533-position model. The record is from RNAcentral. Lineage: Bacteria; Bacillati; Actinomycetota; Actinomycetes.